AACCGCCCACCAAGCUUUUAACCAAUAGGUGUUUAGAGGGGUUAUCCGCCCCCUUUGGGAUUGGGCCCCGGCCCAAAUCUCUGGGGGAGGCAGCGGUGGGGAUUCUGCCAAAGGGAGAAAUUUUGAUGCAACGAUCCCGCGUAGAUGAAAGGAGGCCCUUUGGGUUAAAAAUUUUUUUUGUGGGGAAAAAAAAUGACUGUACCCGAAUAAGAAGGUCCGGCUAAUUUCGUGCCAGCAGCCGCGGUAAUACGAAGGGACCUAGCGUAGUUCGGAAUUACUGGGCUUAAAGAGUUCGUAGGUGGUUGAAAAAGUUGGUGGUGAAAUCCCAGAGCUUAACUCUGGAACUGCCAUCAAAACUUUUCAGCUAGAGUUUGAUAGAGGAAAGCAGAAUUUCUAGUGUAGAGGUGAAAUUCGUAGAUAUUAGAAAGAAUACCAAUUGCGAAGGCAGCUUUCUGGAUCAUUACUGACACUGAGGAACGAAAGCAUGGGUAGCGAAGAGGAUUAGAUACCCUCGUAGUCCAUGCCGUAAACGAUGUGUGUUAGACGUUGGAAAUUUAUUUUCAGUGUCGCAGCGAAAGCGAUAAACACACCGCCUGGGGAGUACGACCGCAAGGUUAAAACUCAAAUGAAUUGACGGGGACCCGCACAAGUAGUGGAGCAUGUGGUUUAAUUCGAAGAUACGCGCAGAACCUUACCAACACUUGACAUGUUCGUCGCGACUUUAAGAGAUUAAAGUUUUCGGUUCGGCCGGACGAAACACAGGUGCUGCAUGGCUGUCGUCAGCUCGUGUCGUGAGAUGUUGGGUUAAGUCCCGCAACGAGCGCAACCCUCACUUUUAGUUGCCAUCAUUAAGUUGGGCACUCUGAAAGAACUGCCAGUGAUAAGCUGGAGGAAGGUGGGGAUGACGUCAAGUCCUCAUGGCCCUUACGUGUUGGGCUACACACGUGCUACAAUGGUAUUUACAACAGGAAGCAAAACGGCAACGUUAAGCAAAUCCUAAAAAGAUACCUCAGUUCGGAUUGCACUCUGCAACUCGAGUGCAUGAAGCUGGAAUUACUAGUAAUCGUGGAUCAGCGUGCCACGGUGAAUGCGUUCCCGGGUCUUGUACACACCGCCCGUCACACCAUGGGAGUCAGUAACGCCCGAAGUCAGUGACCCAACCGUAAGGAGGGAGCUGCCGAAGGUGGGACCGAUAACUGGGGUGAAGUCGUAACAAGGUAGCCGUA
This 1226-nucleotide ribosomal RNA is filed under the name uncultured bacterium. RNAcentral's name for it is "partial 16S ribosomal RNA". It matches the Rfam family "Bacterial small subunit ribosomal RNA", at positions 259 to 1504 of the family's 1533-position model. The record is from RNAcentral.